This 213-nucleotide ribosomal RNA is filed under the name Bicosoecida sp. CB-2014. RNAcentral describes it as "partial Bacterial small subunit ribosomal RNA". It matches the Rfam family "Bacterial small subunit ribosomal RNA", at positions 343 to 548 of the family's 1533-position model. The record is from RNAcentral. Lineage: Eukaryota; Bigyra; Bicosoecida.
GGGAGGCAGCAGUGGGGAAUAUUGGACAAUGGGGGCAACCCUGAUCCAGCCAUGCCGCGUGUGUGAAGAAGGCCUUCGGGUUGUAAAGCACUUUCAGUUGUGAGGAAAAGUUAGUAGUUAAUACCUGCUAGCCGUGACGUUAACAACAGAAGAAGCACCGGCUAACUCCGUGCCAGCAGCCGCGGUAAUACGGAGGAUCCGAGCGUUAUCCGG